This 497-nucleotide ribosomal RNA is filed under the name uncultured bacterium. RNAcentral's name for it is "partial 16S ribosomal RNA". It matches the Rfam family "Bacterial small subunit ribosomal RNA", at positions 28 to 507 of the family's 1533-position model. The record is from RNAcentral.
GAUGAACGCUGGCGGCGUGCCUAAUACAUGCAAGUCGAGCGAACGGACGAGAAGCUUGCUUUUCUGAUGUUAGCGGCGGACGGGUGAGUAACACGUGGAGAACCUACCUAUAAGACUGGGAUAACUUCGGGAAACCGGAGCUAAUACCGGAUAAUAUUUUGAACCGCAUGGUUCAAAAGUGAAAGACGGUCUUGCUGUCACUUAUAGAUGGAACCGCGCUGCAUUAGCUAGUUGGGAAGGUAACGGCUUACCAAGGCAACGAUGCAUAGCCGACCUGAGAGGGUGAUCGGCCACACUGGAACUGAGACACGGUCCAGACUACUACGGGAGGCAGCAGUAGGGAAUCUUCCGCAAUGGGCGAAAGCCUGACGGAGCAACGCCGCGUGAGUGAUGAAGGCCUUCGGAUCGUAAAACUCUGUUAUUAGGGAAGAACAUAUGUGUAAGUAACUGUGCACAUCUUGACGGUACCUAAUCAGAAAGCCACGGCUAACUACGUG